This 89-nucleotide transfer RNA is filed under the name Roseburia sp. RNAcentral describes it as "tRNA-Ser". It matches the Rfam family "tRNA". From Rfam's summary of the family: Transfer RNA (tRNA) molecules are approximately 80 nucleotides in length. Their secondary structure includes four short double-helical elements and three loops (D, anti-codon, and T loops). Further hydrogen bonds mediate the characteristic L-shaped molecular structure. tRNAs have two regions of fundamental functional importance: the anti-codon, which is responsible for specific mRNA codon recognition, and the 3' end, to which the tRNAs corresponding amino acid is attached (by aminoacyl-tRNA synthetases). tRNAs cope with the degeneracy of the genetic code in two manners: having more than one tRNA (with a specific anti-codon) for a particular amino acid; and 'wobble' base-pairing, i.e. permitting non-standard base-pairing at the 3rd anti-codon position. The record is from RNAcentral. Lineage: Bacteria; Bacillati; Bacillota; Clostridia; Lachnospirales; Lachnospiraceae.
GGAGUCGUAUCGAAGUGGUCAUAACGGGGCGCACUCGAAAUGCGUUAGCCCUCCGGGGCCCGCGGGUUCGAAUCCCGCCGACUCCGCCA